RNAcentral lists this transfer RNA (73 nucleotides) under Ixodes scapularis (black-legged tick). It matches the Rfam family "tRNA". From Rfam's summary of the family: Transfer RNA (tRNA) molecules are approximately 80 nucleotides in length. Their secondary structure includes four short double-helical elements and three loops (D, anti-codon, and T loops). Lineage: Eukaryota; Metazoa; Arthropoda; Arachnida; Ixodida; Ixodidae. The record is from Rfam by way of RNAcentral.
UCCUGGUUAGCUCAGUUGGUAGAGCGCUCCACUGGAAAUGGAGAGGUCCCGGGUUCGAUACCCGGACCAGGCG